AUGAUGGGGAAAGGUAUAGGUCAGGGAAAACAUCAUUAGUAGCAGGUACAUUUUGUCCACAAAGAAAUACAUUUGUUUUUAAAGUAAUGUAUUAAUUGAGCAGACAUACAGGGAGCAUCUACAAUGGACUAGCACUGUGAGUGAUGAUAUAAAAAUGAACAAACACAAUCUCUGACCUCAAAAUGUUCCCAACACAUAUAUAAACAAAUGAGUGUUUUUGAAAAUCCAGAAGAUGAAAUGUGCUAAAGUAAAUGAGCCAAUAAGUAAGCAAACAAAAAAUAAAACAGGAGGUAGGAGCAGAAUACUUGAUUAAUUCAGUGGAUGGCAAAAUUACCUAUUAGAGAUACUGAAGAAUAAAAAUUCUGUGCCUUUUCACAUAAAAUAUGCUGGCUGUUCUCUGAAAGGAUCUGAGCUGGGUUUGGAAAACAAUAUAGGCAAUAUUUAGUUUGUUCAUUGUGCUUUUCAGAAAUGCCAUGACCCAUCCUUAAAUCACAAACUAAUUUUAAUUCUGCAUGUGUGAAAAGCCUUGUUUUUGAAUUCUUUUUUUUUUUUUUUUCCUUCCUGGCUGCCUUCCUUUGUUUACAUUCUCUCUCUCUCUCUCACACACACACACAUGCACACACACACACACACACACCAUCAACAUUUAUGUUUACCAGGCUCAUUAGUCUUAGGAUUUGACUCUCACUUUCUCUAACAAUACACCAAAUGAAUCCAUGGCUUAUUAACUUUUCUUUGUUUUUUUGAAAUGCAUAUCUGAGGAAUGAUUUAAAGUUUUGUUUUAAAUUUGUGCGACAAAUUGUGAUAAUUUUUAUCUGGAAAGGAGCUUGUUUGGCAUGCAUGCAAAACUGGCAGGAUGCCACAAUAAGCCAAGCUGCCCUGGCAUCUCUAAAUGGAUCAAUGAACCAUAAAUAAAUCUCUGCAAUAAACUGAGAGAAGAAACCCAGUCCAGUCUCCUGUCACCAUAACCUGUGACUGUAUUUUCCAAGUUGAAUGAUAGUCAUUCAUUUACUGGGCAAACAUUGAUUAAGCAGCAAACCAAGAUGAGAAGUGAGUUCAAGCCCACUAUUUCCCCAAGCACCACUAGAUU
RNAcentral lists this long non-coding RNA (1090 nucleotides) under Canis lupus familiaris (dog). Its description in RNAcentral is "lncRNA (ENSCAFG00040007166.1)". The record is from RNAcentral. Lineage: Eukaryota; Metazoa; Chordata; Mammalia; Carnivora; Canidae.